Molecule: non-coding RNA, 130 nt
Filed under: Mesocricetus auratus (golden hamster)
Lineage: Eukaryota; Metazoa; Chordata; Mammalia; Rodentia; Cricetidae
Description: Eukaryotic small subunit ribosomal RNA
Rfam family: Eukaryotic small subunit ribosomal RNA
Source: Rfam by way of RNAcentral
AAAGUCGGAGGCUUGAAGACGAUCAGAUACCGUUGUGGUUCCAACCAUAAACGAUGCCAGCUGGCGAUGCGGCAGCGGCAUUAUUCCCAUGACCCACCAGGCAGCUUCCAGGAAACCAAAGUCUUUGGGU